AAGUUAUAAUAUUAGUUAUUUGAAAUUUUGAAACACCAUUAAUGAAAUUAAGGUCUCAUUCUUUGUCUUAUCUGCCAACAUCCAAGGUAUUGUCUUUCUGGAAACCCACUGGCCAGCUCUGCCAGAGAAUCAGCCUUUCUCCCUCACCGCAUAUCUUUAUCUCAUUUGCCAACACCUGAGGUAGUCCCUCCCUGGAAACCCACUGGACAUACUGGCCAGUGAUCGGGAACUAAAUGGUCAAAGGUGGGGUAGAAACCCCAGAUUGGGACUAAAGAUUUCAACAACAGGAUCCUAGCAUAACUGUUCUCUACGAAGUUCCACCCAACAGCCAAUAAAAGCAGAUGCAGAGACCUACAGCCAAACAUUAGAUGGAGCUCAGGAGUUUUGUGGAAGGAUUGAGGGACCUUAACAGGAUAGCAACUCUACAGGAAGAUCAACAGAGUCAACUAUCCUGGACCCUUCGGUGCUCCCAGUGACUGAACCAUCAACCAAAGAGCAUGGGCUGAACUUAAUGCCCUCUCCCAGCAUAGAUAGCAGAUGUGCAGCUUUGUCUUCAUCCUGGUACUUCAACAACUGAAGCGGAGGUUGUCCCUCAAUCUGAUACACACCUGUGGAUCCAGUUCUCCUAACUGGGUUGCCUUGUCUGAUCUCAGUGGGAGAAGAUGUGCCUAAUUCUGCAGUGACUUGAUUUGCCAGGGUAGGGUGACAACAUGGGGAGAGGGCUGCCCCCCUCCUCAGAGGAGAAGGGGAAGGGGAGAGGGGAGGAUCUGGGGGACUGGAAGGAGGGGUCUGAUAUUUGGAUGUAAAGGGAAUAACUAAGUAAAUUAAUGAAAAAUAACUAAAGGCCUUAUGGAAACCUAAUAUAAUAGAAGCUUUUUAAAAUAUACACAUAUGAAAGAAAUCCAAAUGAAACACCAAAUAAUGAGAGAGACAAAACCCCAACAAGACAUCUCUGGCUACUAAAUGAACCCCAGGGUCUGGAAUGGGUUGCAUCUGAGUCAUGGAAAACCCCAAAUUACCUAGGCUAUUGUCAAGGCUGUUGGUUCCUCUUUAAAAACCGUUGGCCUCUAUGUUGAGAAGAAUGUCUACAUAUUGUGUGGAAUAUGAGGAGGUUGAACUGGUGCCUUUCUAGAGCCUUUAUCCCUACUGACUAGUGUUGAUGGUACUGGGAGAUACUAUGUACACCAUCAGAGGAGAAAGCUAUACCACAAACAGGCUACAAAACGUGAUCUGCUUGCGUGAUAAACCAGUACACUAGUAGCACAAAAACUGUGGAAGUAACUGGCCACUAUCAGCUUGGAUUUAAGGCCCACUCCAUGAGAUGGAACUCACACCUCACACCAGUUUUAAGUGGCUAAGAACUUUUGACUACAUAGGCCAUAGUCCUAGAAGAAAACCAAAUUCUGCUUUCCUACUAAUAGUAGUCCUAAUGAUAUUCUGCUAUACUUAUAGACAGUAUUUUGCCCAGCCAUCAUCAGAAAAGCUUCUGACUGUAGUAGAUGGGAACAAAUUCAGUGACCCACAACUGAACGAUAUGCAGAGAGUGUGAGGGCUUGGAACCCUCAACCCUUUAUGACAUGUCCCCAUGAUUAUUUCCUCUUAGGGGUCAGGAAUCUUUAAAGAAGGGGAGGUUGAAAGAUUGUAAGAGCCAGUGGGAAUAGAAGACAUGAAUGAAACAAAGCCCUCAGGACUGGUGCAUAUAUGAACUCACAGGGACUGGAGCAUUGUGCACAGGACCUGCACAGGUCUAAGCGGCAAGGAUUC
Molecule: small RNA, 1764 nt
Filed under: Rattus norvegicus (Norway rat)
Lineage: Eukaryota; Metazoa; Chordata; Mammalia; Rodentia; Muridae
Description: uncharacterized LOC108351558
Source: RNAcentral